Molecule: ribosomal RNA, 579 nt
Filed under: uncultured bacterium
Lineage: Bacteria
Description: bacterial SSU rRNA
Rfam family: Bacterial small subunit ribosomal RNA
Source: RNAcentral
GUAGUCCAUGCCGUAAACGUUGGGCACUAGGUGUGGGGGACAUUCCACGUUUUCCGCGCCGUAGCUAACGCAUUAAGUGCCCCGCCUGGGGAGUACGGCCGCAAGGCUAAAACUCAAAGGAAUUGACGGGGGCCCGCACAAGCGGCGGAGCAUGCGGAUUAAUUCGAUGCAACGCGAAGAACCUUACCAAGGCUUGACAUGAACCGGAAUGAUGCAGAGAUGUGUCAGCCACUUGUGGCCGGUUUACAGGUGGUGCAUGGUUGUCGUCAGCUCGUGUCGUGAGAUGUUGGGUUAAGUCCCGCAACGAGCGCAACCCUCGUUCCAUGUUGCCAGCGGGUUAUGCCGGGGACUCAUGGGAGACUGCCGGGGUCAACUCGGAGGAAGGUGGGGACGAACGUCAAAUCAUCAUGCCCCUUAUGUCUUGGGCUUCACGCAUGCUACAAUGGCCGGUACAAAGGGUUGCGAUACUGUGAGGUGGAGCUAAUCCCAAAAAGCCGGUCUCAGUUCGGAUUGAGGUCUGCAACUCGACCUCAUGAAGUUGGAGUCGCUAGUAAUCGCAGAUCAGCAACGCUGCGGUGA